AAAAAAAAAAAAAAAGAAGGAGGAUGAGCUCAAAGGCAAAGGGCCCAUUUGGCAUAUCCGUUCAAUUUUGUUGCUCUACAGUUUUAAAAUUACUGAAUAUAGGUUAAAUGUAACGUAACAAAUUGCGAAAUGUUAUUAAAAUUAUAAUAUAAUAUAAUUGUUAUUAUGUUUUAAUAUUUAAUUGCUGCAUAAAAAUAUAAUUAAUCUGAUGUAAUAAUAAUUUUAAUUUUAA
This 232-nucleotide unclassified non-coding RNA is filed under the name Hevea brasiliensis (rubber tree). The record is from RNAcentral. Lineage: Eukaryota; Viridiplantae; Streptophyta; Magnoliopsida; Malpighiales; Euphorbiaceae.